GGCCGACUCCAAACUGCCCGACAUCCAGUCCGGCUUCGAAAAGGGCAUCACCGACGUGAUGGCAGGCCUGUCGGGCCUCAACCUCGUCUACGAAUCC
RNAcentral lists this non-coding RNA (97 nucleotides) under uncultured Mesorhizobium sp. Its description in RNAcentral is "Pyrrolysine insertion sequence mttB". It matches the Rfam family "Pyrrolysine insertion sequence mttB". Lineage: Bacteria; Pseudomonadati; Pseudomonadota; Alphaproteobacteria; Hyphomicrobiales; Phyllobacteriaceae. The record is from RNAcentral.